RNAcentral lists this ribosomal RNA (497 nucleotides) under uncultured bacterium. Its description in RNAcentral is "partial 16S ribosomal RNA". It matches the Rfam family "Bacterial small subunit ribosomal RNA", at positions 28 to 507 of the family's 1533-position model. The record is from RNAcentral.
GAUGAACGCUGGCGGCGUGCCUAAUACAUGCAAGUCGAGCGAACGGACGAGAAGCUUGCUUCUCUGAUGUUAGCGGCGGACGGGUGAGUAACACGAGGAUAACCUACCUAUAAGACUGGGAUAACUUCGGGAAACCGGAGCUAAUACCGGAUAAUAUUUUGAACCGCAUGGUUCAAAAGUAAAAGACGGUCUUGCUGUCACUUAUAGAUGGAUCCGCGCUGCAUUAGCUAGUUGGUAAGGUAACGGCUUACCAAGGCAACGAUGCAUAGCCGACCUGAGAGGGUGAUCGGCCACACUGGAACUGAGACACGGUCCAGACUCCUACGGGAGGCAGCAGUAGGGAAUCUUCCGCAAUGGGCGAAAGCCUGACGGAGCAACGCCGCGUGAGUGAUGAAGGUCUUCGGAUCGUAAAACUCUGUUAUUAGGGAAGAACAUAUGUGUAAGUAACUGUGCACAUCUUGACGGUACCUAAUCAGAAAGCCACGGCUAACUACGUG